Molecule: long non-coding RNA, 434 nt
Filed under: Monodelphis domestica (gray short-tailed opossum)
Lineage: Eukaryota; Metazoa; Chordata; Mammalia; Didelphimorphia; Didelphidae
Description: lncRNA (ENSMODG00000030523.2)
Source: RNAcentral
AGCUGGAGUUUCUGCCUAGACUUUGGUCAGAGGGAACCCAGAGGGACCAGGAUGAAGAGUGAAGGAAAUGCCAAGGAGCUGACUGUCUGUCUGUCAAAGAAGACCCUGUUGAAAGCCCUGGGAGAAAUGGAGGAGGUGACAGUCUUUUCACCCAGAAAAGGGAAGCGGUUUGCCUAUGGUUAACGAGGAAGUUAUUGGCUGAGCUGGAAUGGAAGUGCAGCAGGUCACCUAAAUCUCUUGACUCCAGCCUACUUAGCAGCAGAUAUUCCAAAACCAGAUUUGGGGUUAAGAGAACAAGAGAGACGACAAAUGGAAUCUCUCUUCUUACUGGGUGGUCAGUUCCUGCCUCCUGAGCAGAGCAGAAGUUAUUCUUCAGUGUCUAAAGGAAAGAGAGAAUCAUAAGAUAAUAAAAUGUCAAUCUGGAAAGGACCUCA